Molecule: non-coding RNA, 138 nt
Organism: Ornithorhynchus anatinus (platypus)
Lineage: Eukaryota; Metazoa; Chordata; Mammalia; Monotremata; Ornithorhynchidae
Source: Rfam
CUCCUCUCAGGGUUGUACCUGGAGAGUUUCCAGUCCUCUACCAGUCACGACUACAGGAGGGAGAGUCGAGCAGAGGCCUGUCCAUUCCAUUCCUAGCUUGGCCAGUGGCUAGCCAGUGGAAGGCGAUCUGCUCCAAGU